AUUGAACGCUGGCGGCAGGCCUAACACAUGCAAGUCGAGCGAGCGGCGGACGGGUGAGUAAUGUAUGGGGACUGCCCGAUAGAGGGGGAUAACUACUGGAAACGGUGGCUAAUACCGCAUACUAUCGGAUAACCCAGAUGUGAUUAGAUAGUAGGUGGGGUAAUGGCUAACCUAGGCGACGAUCCUUAGCUGGUCUGAGAGGAUGAUCAGCCACACUGGAGCGUAGAAACGGCCCAGACCCCUACGGAGGCAGCAGUGGGGAAUAUUGCACAAUGGGCGCAAGCCGGAUGCAGCCAUGCCGCGUGUAUGAAGAAGGCCUUAGGGUUGUAAAGUACUUUCAGCGGGGAGGCGUUACCCGCAGAAGAAGCACCGGCUAACUCCGUGCCAGCAGCCGCGGUAAUAC
RNAcentral lists this ribosomal RNA (403 nucleotides) under uncultured bacterium. RNAcentral's name for it is "partial 16S ribosomal RNA". It matches the Rfam family "Bacterial small subunit ribosomal RNA", at positions 30 to 526 of the family's 1533-position model. The record is from RNAcentral.